GAUGAAGAACGGUAGCGAAAUGCGAUAAGUAAUGUGAAUUGCAGAAUUCAGUGAAUCAUCGAAUCUUUGAACGCACAUUGCGCCCGUCAGUAUUCUGGCGGGCAUGCCUGUUCGAGCGUCAUUACGCCCCUCAAGUCCCCUGUGGACUUGGUGUUGGGGAUCGGCGAGGCUGGUUUUCCAGCACAGCCGUCCCUUAAAUUAAUUGGCGGUCUCGCCGUGGCCCUCCUCUGCGCAGUAGUAAAACCCUCGCAACAGGAGCCCGGCGCGGUCCACUGCCGUAAAACCCCCCAACUUUUUAUAGUUGACCUCGAAUCAGGUAGGACUACCCGCUGAACUUAAGCAUAUCAAUAAGCGGAGGA
This 359-nucleotide unclassified non-coding RNA is filed under the name soil metagenome. Its description in RNAcentral is "partial contains 5.8S ribosomal RNA, internal transcribed spacer 2, and large subunit ribosomal RNA". The stretch from base 1 to 121 matches the Rfam family "5.8S ribosomal RNA", at positions 35 to 154 of the family's 154-position model. The record is from RNAcentral.